UGGUGGAUGAGUGGCGAACGGGUGAGUAACACGUGAGUAACCUGCCCCUGAUUUCGGGAUAAGCCUGGGAAACUGGGUCUAAUACCGGAUACGACCUCCUGACGCAUGUUGGGUGGUGGAAAGUUUUUCGAUCGGGGAUGGGCUCGCGGCCUAUCAGCUUGUUGGUGGGGUAAUGGCCUACCAAGGCGACGACGGGUAGCCGGCCUGAGAGGGCGACCGGCCACACUGGGACUGAGACACGGCCCAGACUCCUACGGGAGGCAGCAGUGGGGAAUAUUGCACAAUGGGGGAAACCCUGAUGCAGCGACGCAGCGUGCGGGAUGACGGCCUUCGGGUUGUAAACCGCUUUCAGCAGGGAAGAAGCGAAAGUGACGGUACCUGCAGAAGAAGUACCGGCUAACUACGUGCCAGCAGCCGCGGUAAUACGUAGGGUACGAGCGUUGUCCGGAAUUAUUGGGCGUAAAGAGCUCGUAGGUGGUUGGUCACGUCUGCUGUGGAAACGCAACGCUUAACGUUGCGCGUGCAGUGGGUACGGGCUGACUAGAGUGCAGUAGGGGAGUCUGGAAUUCCUGGUGUAGCGGUGAAAUGCGCAGAUAUCAGGAGGAACACCGGUGGCGAAG
Molecule: ribosomal RNA, 620 nt
Filed under: Brevibacterium epidermidis
Lineage: Bacteria; Bacillati; Actinomycetota; Actinomycetes; Micrococcales; Brevibacteriaceae
Description: bacterial SSU rRNA
Rfam family: Bacterial small subunit ribosomal RNA
Source: RNAcentral